GGAUCAUUACCGAGUUAUACAACUCAUCAACCCUGUGAACAUACCUAAAACGUUGCUUCGGCGGGAACAGACGGCCCUGUAACAACGGGCCGCCCCCGCCAGAGGACCCCUAACUCUGUUUUUAUAAUGUUUUUCUGAGUAAACAAGCAAAUAAAUUAAAACUUUCAACAACGGAUCUCUUGGCUCUGGCAUCGAUGAAGAACGCAGCGAAAUGCGAUAAGUAAUGUGAAUUGCAGAAUUCAGUGAAUCAUCGAAUCUUUGAACGCACAUUGCGCCCGCCAGUAUUCUGGCGGGCAUGCCUGUUCGAGCGUCAUUACAACCCUCAGGCCCCCGGGCCUGGCGUUGGGGAUCGGCGGAAGCCCCCUGUGGGCACACGCCGUCCCUCAAAUACAGUGGCGGUCCCGCCGCAGCUUCCAUUGCGUAGUAGCUAACACCUCGCAACUGGAGAGCGGCGCGGCCAUGCCGUAAAACACCCAACUUCUGAAUGUUGACCUCGAAUCAGGUAGGAUACCCG
This 514-nucleotide ribosomal RNA is filed under the name Fusarium solani f. radicicola. RNAcentral describes it as "eukaryotic LSU rRNA". The stretch from base 160 to 313 matches the Rfam family "5.8S ribosomal RNA". Lineage: Eukaryota; Fungi; Ascomycota; Sordariomycetes; Hypocreales; Nectriaceae. The record is from RNAcentral.